ACAGAGCACAAAUCUGUAUGCCUCCAGUCAACCCACAUACAAUGAGUCUGAAAGGAACCUGCGGCAAGAAUCGUUGUCAACAAACAUCUAAUUUCAGUUUCAAAUUGUUUGAGUGGAGAAGCAGACAUGGAUGAGAAUGAUCCUAAUGUAAACCAAGAGGAGGGGCAAUCAAUCACCUUCCAUCCACCACAUGACUGCAGGGAGACUGGUGCACAUUCAUAAGAAUUAUUAAUUAUUAUUAUUAUUUAAUAACUUCUCUGUCAGAUAUUAGCCAGGAGAUUAUAAACAACAUUGAACUACA
Zootermopsis nevadensis is the source of this 301-nucleotide long non-coding RNA. RefSeq lists it as uncharacterized. The record is from RefSeq and is a predicted model, not a curated record. NCBI's taxonomy places the organism in Eukaryota, Metazoa, Arthropoda, Insecta, Blattodea, Termopsidae.